RNAcentral lists this ribosomal RNA (497 nucleotides) under uncultured bacterium. RNAcentral's name for it is "partial 16S ribosomal RNA". It matches the Rfam family "Bacterial small subunit ribosomal RNA", at positions 28 to 507 of the family's 1533-position model. The record is from RNAcentral.
GACGAACGCUGGCGGCGUGCCUAAUACAUGCAAGUAGAACGCUGAAGAGAGGAGCUUGCUCUUCUUGGAUGAGUUGCGCACGGGUGAGUAACGCGUAGGUAACCUGCCUUGUAGCGGGGGAUAACUAUUGGAAACGAUAGCUAAUACCGCAUAACAAUGGAUGACACAUGUCAUUUAUUUGAAAGGGGCAAUUGCUCCACUACAAGAUGGCCCUGCGUUGUAUUAGCUAGUAGGUGAGGUAAUGGCUCACCUAGGCGACGAUACAUAGCCGACCUGAGAGGGUGGUCGGCCACACUGGGACUGAGACACGGCCCAGACUCCUACGGGAGGCAGCAGUAGGGAAUCUUCGGCAAUGGGGGCAACCCUGACCGAGCAACGCCGAGUGAGUGAAGAAGGUUUUCGGAUCGUAAAGCUCUGUUGUAAGUCAAGAACGGGUGUGAGAGUGGAAAGUUCACACUGUGACGGUAGCUUACCAGAAAGGGACGGCUAACUACGUG